AUUGAACGCUGGCGGCAUGCUUUACACAUGCAAGUCGAACGGUAACAGGCCUUCGGGUGCUGACGAGUGGCGAACGGGUGAGUAAUGCAUCGGAACGUACCCAGAGGUGGGGGAUAACGCAGCGAAAGCUGUGCUAAUACCGCAUGUGAUCUGAGGAUGAAAGCGGGGGACCGAGCAGCAAUGUUUGGCCUCGCGCCUUUGGAGCGGCCGAUGUCGGAUUAGCUAGUUGGUGGGGUAAAGGCCUACCAAGGCGACGAUCCGUAGCUGGUCUGAGAGGACGACCAGCCACACUGGGACUGAGACACGGCCCAGACUCCUACGGGAGGCAGCAGUGGGGAAUUUUGGACAGUGGGCGCAAGCCUGAUCCAGCAAUGCCGCGUGCGGGAAGAAGGCCUUCGGGUUGUAAACCGCUUUUGGCAGGAACGAAACGGUGUCCGCUAAUACCGGGCGCUAAUACGGUACCUGCAGAAUAAGCACCGGCUAACUACGUG
RNAcentral lists this ribosomal RNA (491 nucleotides) under uncultured bacterium. RNAcentral's name for it is "partial 16S ribosomal RNA". It matches the Rfam family "Bacterial small subunit ribosomal RNA", at positions 29 to 507 of the family's 1533-position model. The record is from RNAcentral.